Molecule: non-coding RNA, 168 nt
Filed under: uncultured Mediterraneibacter sp.
Lineage: Bacteria; Bacillati; Bacillota; Clostridia; Lachnospirales; Lachnospiraceae
Description: Glycine riboswitch
Rfam family: Glycine riboswitch aptamer
About the family: This family represents the bacterial glycine riboswitch. Glycine riboswitches usually consist of two metabolite-binding aptamers domains with similar structures in tandem. The aptamers cooperatively bind glycine to regulate the expression of downstream genes.
Source: RNAcentral
AAACUCAGGAGAGUCUUUUCCCUGCCAGUAUUUGAAGGUCAGAUCAUUCAGGGGAGAGCGCCGAAGGUGUAAGCGGCAUCGGAAAAGAAGGAUGGUCCGGUCGGGCGGAACAGCUGAUUUUUCCAUGUGUAUGUUGCGAGUCUCUCAGGCAAAAGGAUGGAGGUAUAA